Molecule: ribosomal RNA, 1676 nt
Filed under: Salmonella enterica
Lineage: Bacteria; Pseudomonadati; Pseudomonadota; Gammaproteobacteria; Enterobacterales; Enterobacteriaceae
Also listed under: 1 other name
Description: partial 23S ribosomal RNA
Rfam family: Bacterial large subunit ribosomal RNA
Source: RNAcentral
CACUGGUCGAGUCGGCCUGCGCGGAAGAUGUAACGGGGCUAAACCAUGCACCGAAGCUGCGGCAGCGACACUGUGUGUUGUUGGGUAGGGGAGCGUUCUGUAAGCCUGUGAAGGUGUGUCGUGAGGCAUGCUGGAGGUAUCAGAAGUGCGAAUGCUGACAUAAGUAACGAUAAAGCGGGUGAAAAGCCCGCUCGCCGGAAGACCAAGGGUUCCUGUCCAACGUUAAUCGGGGCAGGGUGAGUCGACCCCUAAGGCGAGGCCGAAAGGCGUAGUCGAUGGGAAACGGGUUAAUAUUCCCGUACUUGGUGUUACUGCGAAGGGGGGACGGAGAAGGCUAUGUUGGCCGGGCGACGGUUGUCCCGGUUUAAGCGUGUAGGUGUGUGUUCCAGGUAAAUCCGGUUCACUUUAACACUGAGGCGUGACGACGAGGCACUACGGUGCUGAAGCAACAAAUGCCCUGCUUCCAGGAAAAGCCUCUAAGCAUCAGGUAACAUCAAAUCGUACCCCAAACCGACACAGGUGGUCAGGUAGAGAAUACCAAGGCGCUUGAGAGAACUCGGGUGAAGGAACUAGGCAAAAUGGUGCCGUAACUUCGGGAGAAGGCACGCUGACACGUAGGUGAAGUGAUUUACUCAUGGAGCUGAAGUCAGUCGAAGAUACCAGCUGGCUGCAACUGUUUAUUAAAAACACAGCACUGUGCAAACACGAAAGUGGACGUAUACGGUGUGACGCCUGCCCGGUGCCGGAAGGUUAAUUGAUGGGGUCAGCGCAAGCGAAGCUCCUGAUCGAAGCCCCGGUAAACGGCGGCCGUAACUAUAACGGUCCUAAGGUAGCGAAAUUCCUUGUCGGGUAAGUUCCGACCUGCACGAAUGGCGUAAUGAUGGCCAGGCUGUCUCCACCCGAGACUCAGUGAAAUUGAACUCGCUGUGAAGAUGCAGUGUACCCGCGGCAAGACGGAAAGACCCCGUGAACCUUUACUAUAGCUUGACACUGAACAUUGAGCCUUGAUGUGUAGGAUAGGUGGGAGGCUUUGAAGUGUGGACGCCAGUCUGCAUGGAGCCGACCUUGAAAUACCACCCUUUAAUGUUUGAUGUUCUAACGUGGACCCGUUACCCGGGUUGCGGACAGUGUCUGGUGGGUAGUUUGACUGGGGCGGUCUCCUCCUAAAGAGUAACGGAGGAGCACGAAGGUUGGCUAAUCCUGGUCGGACAUCAGGAGGUUAGUGCAAUGGCAUAAGCCAGCUUGACUGCGAGCGUGACGGCGCGAGCAGGUGCGAAAGCAGGUCAUAGUGAUCCGGUGGUUCUGAAUGGAAGGGCCAUCGCUCAACGGAUAAAAGGUACUCCGGGGAUAACAGGCUGAUACCGCCCAAGAGUUCAUAUCGACGGCGGUGUUUGGCACCUCGAUGUCGGCUCAUCACAUCCUGGGGCUGAAGUAGGUCCCAAGGGUAUGGCUGUUCGCCAUUUAAAGUGGUACGCGAGCUGGGUUUAGAACGUCGUGAGACAGUUCGGUCCCUAUCUGCCGUGGGCGCUGGAGAACUGAGGGGGGCUGCUCCUAGUACGAGAGGACCGGAGUGGACGCAUCACUGGUGUUCGGGUUGUCAUGCCAAUGGCACUGCCCGGUAGCUAAAUGCGGAAGAGAUAAGUGCUGAAAGCAUCUAAGCACGAAACUUGCCCCGA